CGCAAGCCUGACGGAGCAACGCCGCGUGUGGGAAGAAGGCUCUUGGGCUGUCAACCACUUUUCUCAGGGAAGAAGCCCUGACGGUACCUGAGGAAUCAGCCUCGGCUAACUCCGUGCCAGCAGCCGCGGUAAUACGGAGGAGGCAAGCGUUAUCCGGAAUUAUUGGGCGUAAAGCGUCCGCAGGGGGCACAUCAAGUCUGCUGUUAAAGGCUGGAGCUUAACUCCGGUAGAGCAGUGGAAACUGGUGUGCUACAGGGCGACAGGGGUAGAGGGAAUUCCCAGUGUAGCGGUGAAAUGCGUAGAUAUUGGGAAGAACACCAGUGGCGAAGGCGCUCUACUGGGCCGCGACUGACGCUGCGGGACGAAAGCUAGGGGAGCG
This 379-nucleotide ribosomal RNA is filed under the name uncultured cyanobacterium. Its description in RNAcentral is "bacterial SSU rRNA". It matches the Rfam family "Bacterial small subunit ribosomal RNA", at positions 376 to 770 of the family's 1533-position model. Lineage: Bacteria; Bacillati; Cyanobacteriota. The record is from RNAcentral.